CCGGGUGGCGACCGGCGCACGGGUGAGUAACGCGUAUGCAACUUACCUAGUCGGGAGGGGGACUAACCCGGCGAAAGUCGGACUAAUACCGCAUGAAGCAGGGGCCCCGCAUGGGGAUAUUUGCUAAAGAUUCAUCGCUGAUAGAUAGGCAUGCGUUCCAUUAGGCAGUUGGCGGGGUAACGGCCCACCAAACCGACGAUGGAUAGGGGUUCUGAGAGGAAGGUCCCCCACAUUGGUACUGAGACACGGACCAAACUCCUACGGGAGGCAGCAG
This 274-nucleotide ribosomal RNA is filed under the name uncultured bacterium. RNAcentral describes it as "partial 16S ribosomal RNA". It matches the Rfam family "Bacterial small subunit ribosomal RNA", at positions 84 to 354 of the family's 1533-position model. The record is from RNAcentral.